Molecule: long non-coding RNA, 1680 nt
Organism: Glycine soja
Lineage: Eukaryota; Viridiplantae; Streptophyta; Magnoliopsida; Fabales; Fabaceae
Exons: 2
Source: RefSeq, a predicted model, not a curated record
CUACUGUUACCAUUCAACACAUACUUCCUUCUCUCUCUUCCUAACUUUUCUAUUUUCUCCUUCUCCUUAGUUUUCCCCUCAGGGUUAGAUCUCAGGCGUUUUGCGACAUACUGUGUAUAUAUAUUUAAUAUAAUCUAUAUCCAUAUAUCUCUUCCUUCUGAUUCUAAUCCGAUCUAUAAUCUAUUUCAAGCAUACAUAUAUAUAAAUAUGAAAUAUUUGGAAGUACCCUUUUUUUAUUUUCUUUUGAGAAACCUCUCCUUCCUAGCUAUAUGGAUUUGCCAAGGUACGUGAGUCUUUCCCUCUUUAAGGGAUUACUGUUGGGUUUUGAUUCAUACAUCAGGGGUUCCUUUUUUUUCUUUUUCAUUUUUAAAUCUCUUUCCUUAAGUGAAAGUAUAUGGCUUUUAAUCGAUACAACAAAGCCUGUAGAUUGUAAAAGUAUAGUUAACAGGCUUUGAACCCCGUUUGUUUUGAUUUUCUGGAGGUUCUGAAAGUAAGCGCUUUUGUUGUUCUUUAUAGAGUUGUUGUUGUUGAAUUUUCUUGUUUUUUUUUUCUUUUUUUUUAAUUGGGGUUUUGGCUUUUCUUUUGUUCUUGAGGUAUGAAUUGAGUUCAUGUGGUUAGAUUCCAUUUGGGUACCCCAACUGGCCUCGUGUGCCAAACAUACACUAACCACUGGCAACAAGCCACAUCAGCUACUCCUCGUGGCCUUGCUGCUAAAAUUCCACAUAAAAUCUCAAUUUUCCGUGUCCCCUCUUUCUUUUCUAUUUUUUACCCGCUCUUUGCUUUCUCUCUGUUUGAUGUUGUUCCCCCCUUCUUUUUAUUUUAUUUUCUCUCUAGACAAUUUUCCGUGACAUUAAUUGGUCUUCACUCUGAGUAACCUAUAAGUCUUUUUACCCCUAUAUAAGUUUCACUAAGUUUGGUAAUAAUGCAAGCUUCUAAAUAUAUAUGCGCAUAUGUGUAUAUGUACCUUUCUUUGUCAGCAGCUAUAGUUGCAUGGACAGAUUGACAGUCGUUGUUUGCGGAUGUAGCAUCAUCAAGAUUCACAUGCAAAUGAAGGUGGGUGGGACUAUGAUGCAAUCCAAGUGCUCUGCCAAUCCAUCGGUCUUUUUGAUGUGAGAAUCUUGAUGAUGCUGCAUCAGCCAUAAACGGCUUUAAAAAGUUGAACAAGUACUAGUUGAACCCCCCAAUAAAAGAGAGGAGAUAAAAAAAAAGUGUGUGUAGGUCUACACACAGCUCAGACUUCCAGAUACUGUCCAUGAGAUCAUGAUGCAUAACAAGACAGACAAUCCUAGGUUAUCGAACAUUGGCUAUUUGGAUUUUGGAGGCUGAGUGGAGCGGCUGUUAGGUCCUUUAUGUGCUGACUUCACAGAUCUAUGAGUAUUCCUUUUCAACAGAAAAUGCUCGAAAAAUGGUGUCUUUUCAGGUUUCUUAAUAUAUAUUGAAACAUCACUUUAUCCAAAUCUAGCUAGAGGCAAUAAAGACCACACAUAAUACAGAGAGAGAAAUUAAUAUUUGGAUGUUAGGUUGCUGAGUGGUGUUCAUGUUGCCUAUAUUAUUAUAGUAAUUGUUUUAUUUAGAUCAUCAGUAUUUAGCUUCCAGUUAUUCAGAUUCAUUGAUCAUAUCUAUCAAAUUCUAUAACCUUAAACUUUUACCUAAUGUUAUACUAAAGAACUUCAGCCUGCA